RNAcentral lists this ribosomal RNA (494 nucleotides) under uncultured bacterium. Its description in RNAcentral is "partial 16S ribosomal RNA". It matches the Rfam family "Bacterial small subunit ribosomal RNA", at positions 28 to 507 of the family's 1533-position model. The record is from RNAcentral.
GACGAACGCUGGCGGCGUGCUUAACACAUGCAAGUCGAACGGUGAAGCGCCUUCCUUUUUGGUGGGUGUGGAUGAGUGGCGAACGGGUGAGUAACACGUGAGUAACCUGCCCCCUUCUUCUGGAUAACCGCAUGAAAGUGUGGCUAAUACGGGAUAUUCUGGGUCUGUCGCAUGAUGGGUCUGGGAAAGAUAUUGUUUCGGUGGGGGAUGGGCUCGCGGCCUAUCAGCUUGUUGGUGGGGUGAUGGCCUACCAAGGCGGUGACGGGUAGCCGGCCUGAGAGGGUGGGCGGUCACACUGGGGCUGAGACACGGCCCCGACUCCUACGGGCGGCAGCAGUGGGGAAUAUUGCACAAUGGGCGCAAGCCUGAUGCAGCGACGCCGCGUGAGGGAUGGAGGCCUUCGGGUUGUGAACCUCUUUCGCCAGUGAAGCAGGCCUGCCUCGUUUGUGGGUGGGUUGACGGUAGCUGGAUAAGAAGCGCCGGCUAACUACGUG